UUCCGGUUGAUCCUGCCGGACCUGACUGCUAUCGGAUUGAUACUAAGCCAUGCGAGUCUUUGCAGUAAUGCAAGGCAUACGGCUCAGUAACACGUAGUCAACUUACCCUAUGGACGAGGAUAAUCUCGGGAAACUGAGCAUAAUACUCGAUAGAUCAUAAUGCCUGGAAUGGUUUAUGGUUGAAAUGAUUCGUCGCCAUAGGAUGGGACUGCGGCCUAUCAGCUUGUUGGUGAGGUAAUGGCCCACCAAGGCGAUUACAGGUACGGGCUCUGAGAGGAGAAGCCCGGAGAUGGGUACUGAGACAAGGACCCAGGCCCUAUGGGGCGCAGCAGGCGAGAAAACUUUGCAAUGUGCGAAAGCACGACAAGGUUAAUCCGAGUGAUUUCUGCUAAAGAAAUCUUUUGCAAGUCAUAAAACCACUAGUGAAUAAGGGGUGGGCAAGUUCUGGUGUCAGCCGCCGCGGUAAAACCAGCACCUCAAGUGGUCAGGAGGAUUAUUGGGCCUAAAGCAUCCGUAGCCGGCUCUGUAAGUUUUCGGUUAAAUCCAUGUGCUCAACAUAUGGGCUGCCGAAAAUACUGCAUAGCUAGGGAGUGGGAGAGGUAGACGGUACUCGGUAGGAAGGGGUAAAAUCCUUUGAUCUAUCGAUGACCACCUGUGGCGAAGGCGGUCUACCAGAACACGUUCGACGGUGAGGGAUGAAAGCUGGGGGAGCAAACCGGAUUAGAUACCCGGGUAGUCCCAGCUGUAAACGAUGCAGACUCGAUGAUGCAUUGGCAUAUAGCCAGUGCAGUGUCGCAGGAAGCCGUUAAGUCUGCCGCCUGGGAAGUACGUACGCAAGUAUGAAACUUAAAGGAAUUGGCGGGGGAGCACCACAAGGGGUGAAGCCUGCGGUUCAAUUGGAGUCAACGCCGGG
RNAcentral lists this ribosomal RNA (913 nucleotides) under uncultured marine archaeon. Its description in RNAcentral is "bacterial SSU rRNA". It matches the Rfam family "Archaeal small subunit ribosomal RNA", at positions 1 to 922 of the family's 1478-position model. The record is from RNAcentral.